UUGCGGUAUCCUGACCGUGCAAAGGUAGCGUGAUAAAUCGCCCUUUAAUUGUGGGCCUGUACGAAUGGACGAACGAGAGUUUAUCUGUCUCUUCAGUAUUCUCUAAAAUUUAAUCAUCAGGUGAAGAAGCCUGAAUUGACCCAAAGGACAAAAAGACCCUAAAGAGCUUCGUUAACAAGAUACAUAAUACAUUAUAAUCUAUAAAGUAUUCUCUAUUAUUUUUAACUUAACUGGGGCGGUUAAGGAACAAUUUUAAUCUUCCAUUACAUAAAAUCAUAGACCAACAAGUCUCAAUCUCUGACCCUUCUAAGAACACAGAAACAAAGCUACCUUAGGGCUAACAGACUUAUCUUCCUCAAGAGUACACAUUGACAGGAAGGAUUGGCACCUCGAUGUUGGCUUAGGGAUGCAUAGGGGUAGUAGCAGCCCCUAAAGCAGGUUUGUUCAACCUUUUAAACCCUACAUGAUCUGAGUUCAAACCGGAGA
Molecule: ribosomal RNA, 486 nt
Filed under: Thelepus verrilli
Lineage: Eukaryota; Metazoa; Annelida; Polychaeta; Terebellida; Terebellidae
Description: partial large subunit ribosomal RNA
Rfam family: Bacterial large subunit ribosomal RNA
Source: RNAcentral